Molecule: non-coding RNA, 148 nt
Filed under: Homo sapiens (human)
Lineage: Eukaryota; Metazoa; Chordata; Mammalia; Primates; Hominidae
Source: Rfam by way of RNAcentral
GCCAGGCGCAGUGGCGGGCGCCUGUAGUCCCAGCUACUUGGGAGGCUGAGGCAGGAGAAUCGCUUGAACCCAGGAGGCGGAGGUUGCAGUGAGUCAAGAUGGUGCCACUGCACUCCCGCAUGGGCAGUAGAGUGAGACCCUGUCUCAA